AAACCGGAGCUAAUACGGAUAAUAUAUUGAACCGCAUGGUUCAAUAGUGGAAAGACGGUUUUGCUGUCACUUAUAGAUGGAUCCGCGCUGCAUUAGCUAGUUGGUAAGGUAACGGCUUACCAAGGCAACGAUGCGUAGCCGACCUGAGAGGGUGAUCGGCCACACUGGAACUGAGACACGGUCCAGACUCCUACGGGAGGCAGCAGGC
This 208-nucleotide ribosomal RNA is filed under the name uncultured Staphylococcus sp. RNAcentral describes it as "partial 16S ribosomal RNA". It matches the Rfam family "Bacterial small subunit ribosomal RNA", at positions 154 to 354 of the family's 1533-position model. The record is from RNAcentral. Lineage: Bacteria; Bacillati; Bacillota; Bacilli; Caryophanales; Staphylococcaceae.